Molecule: ribosomal RNA, 429 nt
Filed under: uncultured bacterium
Lineage: Bacteria
Description: bacterial SSU rRNA
Rfam family: Bacterial small subunit ribosomal RNA
Source: RNAcentral
UGGGGAAUAUUGCACAAUGGGCGAAAGCCUGAUGCAGCCAUACCGCGUGGGUGAAGAAGGCCUUAGGGUUGUAAAGCCCUUUCAGCAGGGAAGAAGGGUGCGAGGUUAAUACCCUCGUAUUUUGACGGUACCUGCAGAAGAAGCACCGGCUAACUCCGUGCCAGCAGCCGCGGUAAUACGGAGGGUGCAAGCGUUAAUCGGAAUUACUGGGCGUAAAGCGCGCGUAGGCGGUCUGGUCAGUCAGAUGUGAAAGCCCCGGGCUCAACCUGGGAAUUGCAUUUGAUACUGCCAGACUCGAGUGUGGUAGAGGGAAGUGGAAUUCCGAGUGUAGCGGUGAAAUGCGUAGAUAUUCGGAGGAACACCAGUGGCGAAGGCGACUUCCUGGACCAACACUGACGCUGAGGUGCGAAAGCGUGGGGAGCAAACAGG